UUCCGUAGGUGAACCAGCGGAGGGAUCAUUACCGAGUUUACAACUCCCAAACCCAAUGUGAACCAUACCAAACUGUUGCCUCGGCGGGGUCACGCCCCGGGUGCGUCGCAGCCCCGGAACCAGGCGCCCGCCGGAGGGACCAACCAAACUCUUUACUGUAGUCCCCUCGCGGACGUUAUUUCUUACAGCUCUGAGCAAAAAAUUCAAAAUGAAUCAAAACUUUCAACAACGGAUCUCUUGGUUCUGGCAUCGAUGAAGAACGCAGCGAAAUGCGAUAAGUAAUGUGAAUUGCAGAAUUCAGUGAAUCAUCGAAUCUUUGAACGCACAUUGCGCCCGCCAGUAUUCUGGCGGGCAUGCCUGUCCGAGCGUCAUUUCAACCCUCGAACCCCUCCGGGGGGUCGGCGUUGGGGAUCGGGAACCCCUCAGACGGGAUCCCGGCCCCGAAAUACAGUGGCGGUCUCGCCGCAGCCUCUCCUGCGCAGUAGUUUGCACAACUCGCACCGGGAGCGCGGCGCGUCCACGUCCGUAAAACACCCAACUUUCUGAAAUGUUGACCUCGGAUCAGGUAGGAAUACCCGCUGAACUUAAGCAUAUCAAUAAGCGGAGGAAAAGAAACCAACAGGGAUUGCCCCAGUAACU
RNAcentral lists this ribosomal RNA (639 nucleotides) under Trichoderma sp. BAB-3573. Its description in RNAcentral is "eukaryotic LSU rRNA". The stretch from base 218 to 371 matches the Rfam family "5.8S ribosomal RNA". Lineage: Eukaryota; Fungi; Ascomycota; Sordariomycetes; Hypocreales; Hypocreaceae. The record is from RNAcentral.